AGAGUUUGAUCCUGGCUCAGGACGAACGCUGGCGGCGUGCUUAACACAUGCAAGUCGAACGGUGAAGUCCCUUCGGGGGCGGAUCAGUGGCGAACGGGUGAGUAACACGUGGGCAAUCUGCCCCUCACUGUGGGAUAACUCCGGGAAACCGGGGCUAAUACCGCAUAUGAAGCCUGGCGGCAUCGCCGGGUUUGGAAAGUUUUUCGGUGGGGGAUGAGCCCGCGGCCUAUCAGCUUGUUGGUGAGGUAAUGGCUCACCAAGGCGACGACGGGUAGCCGGCCUGAGAGGGCGACCGGCCACACUGGGACUGAGACACGGCCCAGACUCCUACGGGAGGCAGCAGUGGGGAAUAUUGGGCAAUGGGCGAAAGCCUGACCCAGCGACGCCGCGUGCGGGUUGAAGGCCUUCGGGUUGUAAACCGC
RNAcentral lists this ribosomal RNA (422 nucleotides) under uncultured bacterium. Its description in RNAcentral is "bacterial SSU rRNA". It matches the Rfam family "Bacterial small subunit ribosomal RNA", at positions 8 to 433 of the family's 1533-position model. The record is from RNAcentral.